CGCGGUGGUCCCACCUGACCCCAUGCCGAACUCAGAAGUGAAACGCCGUAGCGCCGAUGGUAGUGUAGGGUCUCCCCAUGCGAGAGUAGGGAACUGCCAGACA
RNAcentral lists this ribosomal RNA (103 nucleotides) under Shigella sonnei. The record is from RNAcentral. Lineage: Bacteria; Pseudomonadati; Pseudomonadota; Gammaproteobacteria; Enterobacterales; Enterobacteriaceae.